UUUUUUUUUUGGAAAUAAUGGCCUAUUGUGACAAGAGUAUAUUUUGCAGGAAUAUCGGCACAGAGAAAGCUAAAGACUGCCUCUUCAUCCGAGGGGCCUGGGGAACAGAGCACACAGCAGAUGGCCGUGAGGACUGUUUAAGACCUCAGAUGUGGAUGGGGCAAAGACAAAGACAGACCUCAAAUCUUCCCAUUCUGACCUUCAGCAGGUGAGCUCUGAGUCUUUUAACACGAACUUGUAAGUCAACUACACACUCCAAUAAAAUUUUUUAAAAAGUCAAUCAAGGAGUUCCCGUUAUGACUCAGUGGUUAACGAAUCCAAUUAGGAACCAUGAGCCAUGACGGAAGCUCCUCCAUUUUUUGUUUGUUUGUUUUUUUGAAGUUCAUUGUCUUGGUUGUAGGGCAAAGGUAAAAGAAAUUCUUUGACAUCCCCUGUAUAUUUUCACUGUGUUUCUAUUCUCUUCCCCAGCACAGCUGGCAACAUCCAGGUGGACCCCAUUUCCUCCAGCAGAAACGGGGAUCAGCUGCCAUGUUCUUCCCUCCCCCUUCCUGGUAGGAGCCAGUUCUGAGAGGUGAGAGUUCUUGGCUGGCCAGUCAGGUGACCCUUCUCCACAAUCCCCCCGAAUGAGGAGCCUGGGCCUCGUGCUCUACUAGAGGAGGCAGUGGGACCACUGACUUCCAGGCCACUCAGGAGGAGCAAGCCGGCCACUUGAAAACAUGCUUUUACUGUAGGCUGCCAGCUGAGGCCCAGACUGAGUUAUGCGUCCUCUGUGUUGAACAACUACUACUUAUCAGGUAAGUCAUAAAGGAUCAUUCAUAAAAUUAGAUUCGCCACUUGUUUUUAUAGCACUCAUUAAGGAACAUAAAAGACAAUUCUUUUCAGCAUUUGGGUGCUGAAUUAUAAAUUCAAUUAACUGGACACAGUGAAGUUCACAGAUCCAGAUAUCCUUAUAUCAAAGCGGCAACUCCCAACCAUGAAGCAGAGAGAAAAAGGACACGCGCGUCCCCCUGGCGUCCCAGGUCCCCUGUGUCAGCUGAGCAAUCUCUCCGCAGCUUUCCUCACUCACUUCUGCUCAUUUCCCCCCUUGCUCGUGACUUUUUCUCAGCCUUGGGAAAGGAAAUGGAUUUUGACAGCACAGGGAGAAGGGAAGACUCUGAAUUCUCAGACAAGGUACAGAGCCUUUGUUCUGCCCCAGGUACUCUGGAGAUAAAAACAGCCUUGGGGUGUUGCAAGGGUUAAAGUGCAGCAUGACUGAAACACCUAGCAGAGUACCUGGCAUGUGGGCAGCAUGCAAUGACAGGGAGACGGUUAUUAGUCACAUCAGUUCCUAAAACAAAUUUAUUUUAAGCCCACCUUCCCCACUACAUCAUUCCUAGUAAUGGAACCGGCAUUUAUCCAAGAGGUAAGGUGUACCGGCCCUGCAUUGGUCUGGGGAUGGGAGAUGGAAAGGCCCAAUGCCCGUAGGAAUCCACAGACGAUGCGGGGAUGUCCUUGUUAACACAUUCCUCCUCUAAAUUCCUCUCCAUGCACCACCCAGGCUGGCAUCUGAUUACACAGUGACCUUUUGCUGGUCCCUGGUUGAUUUAUAUGCGUCUAUAUAUAUCUAUAGGAUCUCCCAGUAAAUUUAUGUUCGGAUAGUGGGAAAAAAACAGUAUCACAAGCAUUA
RNAcentral lists this long non-coding RNA (1666 nucleotides) under Sus scrofa (pig). RNAcentral describes it as "lncRNA (ENSSSCG00060006767.1)". Lineage: Eukaryota; Metazoa; Chordata; Mammalia; Artiodactyla; Suidae. The record is from RNAcentral.